This 406-nucleotide long non-coding RNA is filed under the name Mus pahari (shrew mouse). Its description in RNAcentral is "lncRNA (MGP_PahariEiJ_G0004793.1)". Lineage: Eukaryota; Metazoa; Chordata; Mammalia; Rodentia; Muridae. The record is from RNAcentral.
AGGCUCUAAGCUGCUGCCAGCUUCUCUGGAGGAUGGAGAAGCUGACAGAACACAGUGGGUUGCAGAGCGAACAGAGAUGAUAGGAAAGUCAAGGAAACAAGUUUAAUUCAACCGAGGUUCUGAGCACUGAUCUCAGGUCCAAUGAGCUUGCCCGGCAAGCACUUCCUGCCUCAGCCUCCCCCAGUCCUGCUAUGGAGUCUUUAAAGAGGUAGUGAUGCCAUCAGCAUAGGCGUACAUCAGCAGUGCUAGUGUCCAUGCAAGAAGAGGCCACUGGUGCACACAUGCUCACACUGGUGAGUCUAUGGGGUGGCACCAGGAGAGUGAGCAGGAAGACUCCGCUGACAGCUGGAUCUCAGACUUCUGAUCUCCAAGUUGGCCAGAAAAUAAAAUUCUAUUGUUGAAGCGC